Molecule: ribosomal RNA, 438 nt
Filed under: uncultured bacterium
Lineage: Bacteria
Description: bacterial SSU rRNA
Rfam family: Bacterial small subunit ribosomal RNA
Source: RNAcentral
CCUACGGGGGGCAGCAGUAGGGAAUCUUCCACAAUGGACGCAAGUCUGAUGGAGCAACGCCGCGUGAGUGAAGAAGGGUUUCGGCUCGUAAAGCUCUGUUGUUAAAGAAGAACGUGGGUAAGAGUAACUGUUUACCCAGUGACGGUAUUUAACCAGAAAGCCACGGCUAACUACGUGCCAGCAGCCGCGGUAAUACGUAGGUGGCAAGCGUUAUCCGGAUUUAUUGGGCGUAAAGCGAGCGCAGGCGGUCUUUUAAGUCUAAUGUGAAAGCCUUCGGCUCAACCGAAGAAGUGCAUUGGAAACUGGGAGACUUGAGUGCAGAAGAGGACAGUGGAACUCCAUGUGUAGCGGUGAAAUGCGUAGAUAUAUGGAAGAACACCAGUGGCGAAGGCGGCUGUCUGGUCUGCAACUGACGCUGAGGCUCGAAAGCAUGGGUAG